Molecule: transfer RNA, 80 nt
Filed under: Hyphomicrobiales bacterium
Lineage: Bacteria; Pseudomonadati; Pseudomonadota; Alphaproteobacteria; Hyphomicrobiales
Description: tRNA-Phe
Rfam family: tRNA
About the family: Transfer RNA (tRNA) molecules are approximately 80 nucleotides in length. Their secondary structure includes four short double-helical elements and three loops (D, anti-codon, and T loops). Further hydrogen bonds mediate the characteristic L-shaped molecular structure. tRNAs have two regions of fundamental functional importance: the anti-codon, which is responsible for specific mRNA codon recognition, and the 3' end, to which the tRNAs corresponding amino acid is attached (by aminoacyl-tRNA synthetases). tRNAs cope with the degeneracy of the genetic code in two manners: having more than one tRNA (with a specific anti-codon) for a particular amino acid; and 'wobble' base-pairing, i.e. permitting non-standard base-pairing at the 3rd anti-codon position.
Source: RNAcentral
GCGGGCGUGGCGGAAUUGGUAGACGCUAGCUUCUGAAAAAAGUCAGGGGAAACCCGUGGGGGUUCGAGCCCCCCGCCGCA